Molecule: long non-coding RNA, 2806 nt
Organism: Carassius gibelio (silver crucian carp)
Lineage: Eukaryota; Metazoa; Chordata; Actinopteri; Cypriniformes; Cyprinidae
Exons: 3
Source: RefSeq, a predicted model, not a curated record
AAGAACUCUCUAGGAGGAGUUCGUUAAAAUACAACACAUGGAAAUGACCAAAAUUACACAAAAUAUGCUCAUAAUAUUAAAAAUAACCGACUUCCUGUUGGGUUUAGAAUUUCGCUCCAAGAGUCUUUUUUGUAGGUAUUGGUGUGUUACAUAUGUGUGCCAAUUUUCGUGCAUGUACGUGAAACAUAGCUGGAAGGCUGUUGAUUUUCUUGGUAUAGGUGGCGCUGUCGAGCCAUUUUGCCACACCCUCUUCUGAAUCCUAUAUCAGACGAAAAUUUUCACCAGGUUUGACGAGUGUGCAAAGUUUCAUGACUUUUUGAGCAUGUUAAAGCCCUCAAAAAUGCGAUUCAUUCGGGAGAAGAAGAAGAAGAAGAAGAAGAAGAAUAAUAAUAAUUAAAGCUGCAAGCAGCGAUGAACGGGCCCUCGCACCCGGGCUCACCGCCAUCGUGUGGCUUUAGUAAAAAGGUGAACGUUGAGAAAUAUGCAUUUAAACUCAUAAAUAUAAGUGCAAUAUAUCAAAGUUUAUUCCAUAUGUGUGCCAAUCUUCCUGUUGCCAGCAGGUGGCGCUAUCGUUAUAAUGGAAUAAUGGCCUUCAGAUGUGUUCAAGCCAGGACCCUUAUCACACAUGUGAAGUUUGGGCAAGAUCGGACAUUUUAUGCCUGAGUUAUAACAUCUUUUAUUCCCAUGGCGAGACAUCGAACUUCGUCAUGGCGCCAUGGACACGCCCUUUAACAAAAACUCAAGAUCUCCACAAGUUAACAUUGCACAGUCCUUCAGAUUAGACUGACCACAAAAAAGACAUUGAUGUCAUAAAAUCUCUAGGAGUAGUUUGUCGCAGUGUAAAAUAUGUCACUUCCUGUUGCCAAUAGGUGGCGCUAUGACUAUAACUGAAUAUGGGCAUGUAGAUCUGUUCAGGUCAAGAGUCUCAUCCAACAUGUGAAGUUUGGGGCAGAUUGGACAUUGUAUGUCUGAGUUACAGCAACUUCCUUUUUCAUGGCGAAACAUCGAAAUUUGUCAGGCCGCCAUGGACAUGCCCUUUAACGAAACCUCAAGUCCUUCGCAAUUUAACAUCGCAAAUGGCUUUAGAUUACACUGACCAAGUUUGGUGUUGAUCUGAAUAAAUCUCUAGGAGGAGUUCGUUAAAGUACAACCCCUGAAAAUGGCAAAAACAACACCAAUUUUGAAGGGAAAAUUAAAAAUAACCGACUUCCUGUUGGGAUCCGGAUUUCGUACCAAGAGACUUUUUUGUAGGUAUUGGAGUGUUACAUGUGUGUACCAAUUUUUGUACAUGUACGUGAAACAUAGCUCGAGGCGCACUCCGUUGAAUGUGUAUAGGUGGCGCUAUAGAGCCAUUCUGCCACACCCGCUGGAAUAUUGGCCUGCAGAUCUGUUCAGGCCAGGACUCUUAUCACACAUGUGAAGUUUGGGGAAGAUCGGACAUUUUAUGCCUGAGUUAUAACAUCUUUUAUUCCCAUGGCGAGACAUCGAACUUCGUCGCGGCGCCAUGAACAAGCCUUUUAACGAAAACUCAAGAUCUUCACAAUUGAACAUCGCACAGGCCUUUAGAUUAGACUGACCACAAAAAAGACAUUGAUGUCAUAAAAUUUCUAGGAGUAGUUCGUCGCAGCGUAAAAUAUGUCACUUCCUGUUGCCAAUAGGUGGCGCUAUGACUAUAACUGAAUAUGGGCAUGUCAAUCUGUUCAGGUUCAGAGUCUCAUCAAACAUGUGAAGUUUGGGGCAGAUUGGACAUUGUAUGUGUGAGUUAUAGCAACUUCAUUUUUCAUGGCGAAUCAUCGAAAUUCGCCAGGCCGCCACGGACACGCCCUUCAACGAAAACUCAAGAUCUUCGCAAUUUAACAUCGCAAAGGCCUUUAGAUUAGGCAUACCAAAUUUGGUGUUGAUUUGAAGAACUCUCUAGGAGGAGUUCGUUAAAAUACAACAUAUGGAAAUGACCAAAAUUACAAAAAAUUUGCUCAUAAUAUUACAAAUAACCGACUUCCUGUUGGUUUUAGAAUUUUGCUCCAAGAGUCUUUUUUGUAGGUAUUGGUGUGUUACAUAUGUGUGCCAAUUUUCGUGCAUGUACGUGAAACAUAGCUCGAAGGCUGUUGAUUUUCUUCGUAUAGGUGGCGCUGUCGAGCCAUUUUGCCACACCCUCUUCUGAAUCCUAUAUCAGACGAAAAUUUUCACCUGGUUUUACGCGUGUGCAAAGUUUCAUGACUUUUUGAGCAUGUUUAAGUCCUCAAAAAUGCGAUUCAUUUUGGAGAAGCGGAAGAAUAAGAAUAAUAAUAAUAAACAGAGCAGAUACAAUAGGGUCCUCACACCAUCGGUGCUCGGGCCCUAAUUAAAGCUGCAAGCAGCGAUGAACGGGCCCUCGCACCCGGGCUCACCGGCAGCGAGUGGCUUUAGUUAAUAGGUGAACGGUGAGAAAUAUGCGUUUAAACUCAUAAAUAUAAGUAGAAUAUAUCAAUGUUUAUUCCAUACAUGUGCCAAUCUUCCUGUUGCCAGCAGGUGGCGCUAUCAUUAUAGUGGAAUAUUGGCCUUCAGAUGUGUUCAGGGCAGGACUUUUGUCGAACAUGUGAGGUUUGGAGAGGAUUGGACAUUUUAUGCCUGAGUUACAACAACAUCCUAUUUCAUGGCGAAACAUCGAAAUUUGUCAGGCCGCCAUGGACACGCCCUUUAACGAAACCUCAAGAUCUUCGCAAUUUUAGAUCGCAAAAGGCUUUAGAUUACACUGACCAAGUUUGGUGUUGAUCUGAAUAAAUCUCUAGGAGGAGUUCGUUAAAGUCCAACCCCUGAAAAUGGCCAA